GUAGGGAAUAUUGGGCAAUGGAUGCAAGUCUGACCCAGCCAUCCCGCGUGCCGGAAGAAGGCCCUCAGGGUUGUAAACGGCUUUUGACGGUGAAGAAUCGACAGGAUGCGUCCUGUUUUGACGGUAGCCGUUGAAUAAGCACCGGCUAACUCCGUGCCAGCAGCCGCGGUAAUACGGAGGGUGCGAGCGUUGUCCGGAUUUAUUGGGUUUAAAGGGUGCGUAGGCUGGAAGGUCAGUCAGCGGUGAAAAGCUAUCGCUUAACGAUAGUCUUGCCGCAGAUACUUCCUUUCUUGGAUGAGGAGGAGGCCACUGGAACGGAUGGUGUAGCGGUGAAAUGCAUAGAUAUCAUCCAGAACACCGAUUGCGAAGGCAGGUGGCUGUACCUUAAUCGACGCUGAUGCACGAAAGCAUGGGGAGCAAACAGGAUUAGAAACCCUUGUAGCC
Molecule: ribosomal RNA, 444 nt
Filed under: uncultured bacterium
Lineage: Bacteria
Description: partial 16S ribosomal RNA
Rfam family: Bacterial small subunit ribosomal RNA
Source: RNAcentral